This 440-nucleotide ribosomal RNA is filed under the name uncultured bacterium. Its description in RNAcentral is "partial 16S ribosomal RNA". It matches the Rfam family "Bacterial small subunit ribosomal RNA", at positions 338 to 795 of the family's 1533-position model. The record is from RNAcentral.
CCUACGGGAGGCUGCAGUGGGGAAUAUUGCACAAUGGGGGAAACCCUGAUGCAGCGACGCCGCGUGAGUGAAGAAGUAUUUCGGUACGUAAAGCUCUAUCAGCAGGGAAGAAAAUGACGGUACCUGACUAAGAAGCCCCGGCUAACUACGUGCCAGCAGCCGCGGUAAUACGUAGGGGGCAAGCGUUAUCCGGAUUUACUGGGUGUAAAGGGAGCGUAGAGGGCAGCGCAAGUCUGGAGUGAAUUCCCAUGGCUUAACCAUGGAACUGCUUUGGAAACUGUGCAGCUAGAGUGCAGUAGAGGUAAGCGGAAUGCCUAGUGUAGCGGUGAAAUGCGUAGAUAUUAGGAGGAACACCAGUGGCGAAGGCGGCUUACUGGACUGUAACUGACGUUGAGGCUCGAAAGCGUGGGGAGCAAACAGGAUUAGAUACCCGGGUAGUC